CUUGUACUCCCUCCGUCUCAAAAUAAGUGUCGUUGAUGUAGUAUAAAAUUUGUAUCAACUUAGUACAAAUUUUGCGACACUUAUUUUGGGACGGAGGGAGUAUAUU
This 106-nucleotide microRNA precursor is filed under the name Hordeum vulgare. RNAcentral describes it as "microRNA MIR1122". It matches the Rfam family "MIR1120/MIR1122 microRNA precursor family". Lineage: Eukaryota; Viridiplantae; Streptophyta; Magnoliopsida; Poales; Poaceae. The record is from RNAcentral.